This is a long non-coding RNA of Carcharodon carcharias (great white shark), 1599 nucleotides long. RefSeq lists it as uncharacterized. NCBI's taxonomy places the organism in Eukaryota, Metazoa, Chordata, Chondrichthyes, Lamniformes, Lamnidae. The transcript has 3 exons. The record is from RefSeq and is a predicted model, not a curated record.
CGCCCACCGGCCAGCGCUCCCGCUCGGGGCCUCGGGUUGUCGGUUUGUGAAGCGGCCGGAAUGAAGUGAAGGGAAGGCGGGAGGGUCCUGACAGGAGGUCCAGGCUGGGUCUCUCUGAUCAACAGAAAUCAAGUUACAGCAUAGAGUCUUGGCGUGAAUCUAAAGUAGAACUUCUACAUUGGAAAGCGGCUAACUUCAAUAGAUUGAGAGGGGAGUGGAAAUGGAACCAAAGACUGACAAGAAAAACUGUAACAGAGCAAUGGGUGAUCUUUAAGGAAGCAAUGUUUCAGCUGGACAAAGACUGUGAUUGGUUUUUCAAUAUCGAUGUUCCAGUAUCGUGGGGUCCGGAAAACAAUCGCAAACUGAGAAAUAGACAAGCCCAGAAAGAAAUUACUUUUCCAGAUGUAUGAACAGCUACUGAACAAUAACUUUGCAAUGAACAACACCUGGUGAAGUGUGCACUGUAGGAGGACCAGAAUCCUGAUCAUUAAAUUGCCGCAGCUCAGUGGAAAGCAUUCUCGUCCAUGUCAGAAGGACAUGGGUUAAAGUCCCACCCUGAAGACCCGAGCACACAAAGCAGCGUGAUACUCCACUGCAGAGGGAGUGCUGCACUGUCUGAGGUGCCAUUGUCUGGAUGAGAUAUUAAACUGAGGCAAAACAGAGAAAGAGCCCAUGAAGAAAGAAAAGGAGUUGCAUUUCUAUAGCACCUUUCACAACCUCAGAACGUCCUAAAGCACCUUACAGCCAGUGAUGCUCUUUUGAAGAGUAGGCACUGUUGUAAAGUAGAACAGUGGAAUCUACUUCAAAGAUGAAUCUGUAAAGGACAGGUUUUGAUUAAGCAAUUUGAAUUUUUUGAAGAGACAAUUAAAGUAGUGGACAAUAGAAUAUCUAUAGAAGUUAUUUAUAUGGAAUUUCAGAGGCAUUUGAUAAAGUCCCUUACAAGAAACAGUUAGCUAAAGUUGAAAUUAAUUAGAGGCACAUUGAGCUGCUUAGAAAAUUGAGAGGAAGGAGACAGGGAUAAUGGGCAUAUACUCUAAUCGGAAGGAAGUAAUGACCGGUGUCCUGUAAGGAUCUAUGUUGGGGUCUCAGCUAUUCACCAUAUUUACUAAUGAUCCAGAUGGGCUGAAAAGCCACAUUGCCAAAUUUGCUGAUAACACAAUGAAAAGUGGCAUUGGAAGCAUAAAAUUACCAAGGGAUACGAAUAUAUGAAAUGAACAAGUAAAAAGAUUUCAAUGUGGACAUCUGGCUGGUUAUCCACUUUGGGUAUUAAAGAAAAGGACAAAACAGGGUGCUUUGGAAAUGGUGAAAAUGUAGAAACCAUGGAAGUUCAGAGAGACCUGGGGGUCCAGGUACAAAAAUAAUCAUGAAGGCUGAUGGAAUGCUGACCUUUAUAUUGAGAGGAUGGGAAUACAAGGGGGUAGAGGUCAUGUUUCAGCUGUACAAAGCCCUGGUUAGACCACGCCUGGAGUUACUGAGGGCAGUUCUGGGCACAAUGCCUUAGGAAGGAUGUAUGAGCCUAGAAGUGCAGCUUAGAUUUGUCUGAAUGAUACCUGGACUCCAAGCGAUAAGUUACAAAGAGAGAUCACACGAACGAGGGUU